Molecule: non-coding RNA, 208 nt
Organism: Biomphalaria pfeifferi
Lineage: Eukaryota; Metazoa; Mollusca; Gastropoda; Planorbidae
Source: the annotation of a GenBank genome assembly
UUUUUCACCACAUAUUUUGUACUUUUAAAAUUUCUAUGUCAAGUCUAGAUACAAUAUAUAUUUAAGUCUAUGGAUGUGACACAUGAAAUUCUCAAAGAUUUGCAAUUUAACUCUUUUUGUCAUUUUAAUACAUAACUACAAAUACAGUUAUUACAUUCUUUACCACUAUAAAACAAAUUAGGCUAUAAUCAUAAUUGUUUCAUAAAAU